Molecule: ribosomal RNA, 492 nt
Filed under: uncultured bacterium
Lineage: Bacteria
Description: partial 16S ribosomal RNA
Rfam family: Bacterial small subunit ribosomal RNA
Source: RNAcentral
AGCGAACGCUGGCGGUAGGCCUAAUACAUGCAAGUCGAACGGCAGCACACUAAUAGUUUGCUCUUACGGGUGGCGCGUCGCAGAGGUGUGUGACACAUAUCGGACCCUCCUCUUUCGCGGGGGCUAAUGUAGGGAACGUUACGCAAAUCCCGCUUACGACCUUCGUGUGAAAGCAGGGGUUCUUCGGUUCUUUCGCGUUUGACUGUGCGGUUGGCGGAUUAGCUAGUUGGCGGGGUAAAGGCCUACCAAGGCGACGAUCCAUAGCUGAUCUGAGAGGAUGAUCAGCCACACUGGAACUGAGACACGGUCCAGACUCCUACGGGAGGCAGCAGUAGGGAAUAUUGGACAAUGGGCGCAAGCCUGAUCCAGCCAUGCCGCGUGGGUGAAGAAGGCUUUCGGGUUGUAAAGCCCUGUUGUUGGGAAAGAAAAGCAGCGGGGUAAUACCCCGCUGAACAGACGGUACCCAAAGAAUAAGCACCGGCUAACUUCGUG